Lactuca sativa (garden lettuce) is the source of this 631-nucleotide long non-coding RNA. RefSeq lists it as uncharacterized. The record is from RefSeq and is a predicted model, not a curated record. Lineage: Eukaryota; Viridiplantae; Streptophyta; Magnoliopsida; Asterales; Asteraceae.
GAAUAAAAAAGAAACACGCUCUUCCCUCUUUUGCCCUCAAACACAUUCGUCCAUCAACACACAUCGAUUCUACGAUUCAUCGUCCCGUUGUUCUUUUCCCACAUCCGAACAACUCCAGCGUCGAUCAUCUCCUCUCAUCACCGACCAAAUCCGCCAACAUCUUCCCGUUGUUGACCUCGGACAACAUAGCCGCCCCCAUCUUCGACCUCACACACACACGAGUCUUCAACAAUGCCAUCGUCGCCAGUGAUGGUAUCUGCCCUCGACAGCGCUGACGAUAGCCACUGAACCGCCUUGAUACACAGGGUUUGUUUAUCUCUAAUUUUCUAAAAUCGAUUUCUGUGAAAUCUAUUCUUCUAGUCUACACAUGAAACCAUUCCCCCUAAUUUGUUAUUAGCUAUGAUACACGAUUUUGAAGUCUGAUCGGCUGCUAGGGUUGUUUGACCACUUUCAAUUUUACUGCACAGGAAUGGAAUUGAGGUGAUCUAUGAAUGAGUGGGUCGGUGGGAUGCUGAGUUUUUUGAAGAUCCAUUUUGAUGUCUAUAUUUUUCUAAUGCAUGUUUGUAAUAUUAGACAUUUUUUUGUUUUGGAAACGUUAUUAAACUAUAAUUGAAGUUUAUUUCGGAAUGAA